Zootoca vivipara (common lizard) is the source of this 4999-nucleotide non-coding RNA. The record is from RefSeq and is a predicted model, not a curated record. Lineage: Eukaryota; Metazoa; Chordata; Lepidosauria; Squamata; Lacertidae.
GAGCACCGAUCGCGGCAUGCAAAGGGGGCGGGGCGGGGGAGGGACGGCGGCGGCACCAGAGGAGACCAGAUGGGCAAAAUGGCGCUGGGAAUAAAAUGCAACAAUUUCAGGCAGGUCGCCAUGUUGUCAGGAGCAAAGCGGGGCCCGGCUGGGAGAAAAAAAGAAAGCCGCCAGCGAGCGAGUCAGCGAGGGCGGAGCGCCGGAGCGCGUCGCCUGUGGCCGGCGGGGAGGGAAAAAAACACUACCACCCAGCAACAACAACAGUAGCCGGUCGGGCCCGACGAGUUUCCGCCCGCGCAAAAACACAGAGAGAAACAGCCAGCAGCAGCGCCGCACGAGAGAUUAUAACGGGACCUUUCCGCGGGGGCGGGGAGAAAGCGGAGCGCGGAGGACGCGGCAAGCCGGAGCGACCCCGAAUUGGCGCAGAGGAGGAGAAAAGGAGGAGACUCCGAAAUCGGCAAGAAACAGCAGGGCAUGGAUACUACGGGAGGUGGAGGGAAGGGAGAUUUGGAAUGACUCCGGAUCGGCAAAAAAAGGAAAGAAAAUGUUGAACUUCACGAAAUCAAAUGAAGCAACCUUUUUCUAACAAUUAUGAAACAGAUCGUACGCAGCGGUUUCUAGAAAAGGAAUACAGUACACUAGUUGCUCUUUCAACGCAGCCGCAGUUCCGCCUCUUCCCCCCCCCCUUGUUUCGACGCAGCGGCGGUCAAGCUCAGACGACCGCUCUCGCGCAUGCGCACAACAUGGACUACCUGACGGGCGCGAUCGCCGCCACUUCUAACGCGUGCGCACAAAGGGCCGAAAGCGGCGGGCUGAGAUUGCGCGUGCGCGUUGGAAGGAGCGCUCUGCAAGUGGGCGGGGUCCUGCCUCCUUUGCCGAGAGGUGGGUACAGCGAGGCUCAGUUCUUUUGUCCGCAGCCCGGAUUUCGCGGUUCUUUUUGAAGCUUUGUUUUUAAGUCCUCUCGCGGGAGUUGCAAAAGAUCCUCAUUAAGAGAUAAUAGAAAGUUAUGGCUUGAUUGACCCGGGAAUCCUAGUAUAUCUGGUAGGCAUGUAGGAGGCCGUCCCAGGUGGCGUGCACGUGGUUCUCUACCUCUCCUCAUUUAAUCCCCACAACAACCCUGCGAGGUAGUUUCGCCUAAGAGGCUCAAGGUCACUCAGUGCGUUUCAUGGCCGAGUAGGGAUUUGAACCCAGGCCCUAGUCCUCCGGCACGCGAAUUCCCCCAACCCCUGCUCCCCUGCCCCUCUCUCGCCUGGCCACCUGCCAAGCACCCAAGGGCGAACGGACAGGAACAUGGGAAUCUGCCUUAUGCUGCCCCUUAUGAGGACCUUUCCUACACCUGGAGAUGCCCCUGGGGAUUGAACUUGAGACCUGCCUGCAAAGGAGAUGCUCUUCCCCUGCCCUGAGCUACGGCCCUUCCUCUAAAAAUAAAGUUAAGAUUCUAGUCCUCAUGUUUUUGAAUCGAGGGCCAGUCACUGCCCCAGUUUAACCCACCUCACAGAGUUGUUGUGGGGGCUGAUUGGAGAGGGAGAGAACUAUGUACGCCAGCUUGAGCUCCUCGGAGAAGAAAAGGGGGAUAUAAAUGCCAUAGAUAAAUAUCUUACACCACAGUGUUCAGAACUGCAAAGGGUCGCUUCCAGAUAGUUACAUACACGUUCUCUCACAAACACACCCCUUUCCAUGAGUAUGCAACCUUCCUAGAUUAUAGAUUAUCUCAUAGUUGUACAAUGUUCUCAUAAUUAUACAAUGUGGUUGUUCAGUCAUUUAGUCUUGUCCGACUCUUCGUGACCCCAUGGACCAGAGCAAUGCAGCCCUAAGUAUUACAAUUACCGUAUACAAUAGUAAUAGUAAUAAUUAGGGCUGCAUUGCACCAAUCAGUGCAGAUCUGAUCUUUAUCUUGACAGUUGAAUAGAUUCGAGGCAAUCAAUUGUGAUUAUUGUUUUAUUCCUUAAUUUGUUCGCAUAAGCAAAAUGGCUUUUAUACAAGCCUUUUUUACACCAGGGUAAGUAAACACGCUGUGGGCAAUGGUGCUUAUUGUAAUGAGGCUGUUUGAAAGAUGAUGGAUUGUUCUCGUUUUGAUUUUUAUGAUGUAUUUAGUGUUUUUAUAUUGUGAUUUUAUGCUGCAAACAGCCGGGAGACCUGUGGGUAUAGGGCAGUAUACAAAUUGAAUAAAUAAUAAUAAUAAUAAUAAUAAUCUGUUGUGUUGCCUUUCAGCUAGAUCUGUCAUUCUCUGUGCACCUCAGUUGGUUUCCUUGAAGUUCCAGUUCUCUUGAAACCAAAGCACCUUGUGUUUUCCGUGUUCCUAAAUGCUUAGGUUUGGUGCAUGUGAGAGCCCGCGUGGGGUAGUGGCUUGGGUGUCAGACCAGGGCCUGGGGAAAAGGCCAGGGUUCAAAUCAUCUGGGAGCACUCAGGGCUGAUUUCCUUCAGAAUGGAUAGGUUUGAUCUUCUGGCAGUCCAUGGGACUCUCAAGAGUCUCCUCCAGCACCAUAAUUCAAAAGCAUCCAUUCUUCGGCGAUCAGCCUUCUUUAUGGUCCAGCUCUCACUUCCAUACAUCACUACUGGGAAAACCAUAGCUUUAACUAUGAUCUUGUACCAUUUAUCUAUUUUAGCAUUUCGAAACUGAAAACUACUUUGGGUGCCUUGGCAGAAAGGCUGUGUCCAGGCACGCUGAAGCGAGGAGGAUGAAUAGCAGGACAUGGGCUUCCUCCUGGGGCAGGGGCUUCUGCAGGGGUCCAUUCUCCAGAUUGCUCCUGCCAGUCAGUGUAGGUCUCCUUACAGCUCUCAGCACUCUGAACAGACUACAGCUCCCAGAAUUCAUUGGGGGAAGUGCUAUCAUAGUGCUUUAAUUGUAUUGGGUAGACAUGGCUAUAGAUUCCAUGGGGAAGGAUCCCGUAGAAAAGCUUUGUUUUUAUGGGAAGUACACUGCCUUGGCUCAUAUGCACCCACUUGGCUGCUUCGAUCUGUGGAAACCGUUCCUCAUUUUGUACAAGCUCAAUUUUGUGAGUGGAACUUUGGAACUCCCUGCCUAUUGACACCGAGCAGGUUCCUUCCUUGCACUCUCUUCAGCUCCUGCUAAAAACAUUUUUCCUUAGGCAGGCCUACCCAGAGGUUUGGAAAGCGGAUGGUUUUUUUUAGUCUUUUCAAAAGUCUCAAAUUAUUGCGUUUAAUAUUUCUUACCCCUUCAUGGAUCAAUGUCUUGUCGUGGCGAAGGGGCUUGAAUAACUCAGAGAAGCUAUGAGCUAUCAACAACCUCAGAUAUGCAGAUGACACAACCUUGAUGGCAGAAAGCGAGGAGGAAUUAAAGAGGAGAGCGCAAAAUAUGGCCUGAAGCUCAACAUCAAAAAAACCCAGAUCAUGGCCACUGGUCCCAUCACCUCCUGGCAAAUAGAAGGGGAAGAAAUGGAGGCAGUGGGAGAUUUUACUUUCUUGGGCUCCUUGAUCACUGCAGAUGAUGACAGCAGUCAUGAAAUUAAAAGACGCCUGCUUCUUGGGAGAAAAGCAACGACAAACCUAGACAGCAUCUUAAAAAGCAGAGACAUCACCUUGCCUACAAAGGUCCGUAUAGUUAAAGCUAUGGUUUUCCCAGUAGUGAUGUAUGGAAGUGAGAGCUGGACCAUAAAGAAGGCUGAUUGCCGAAGAAUUGAUGCUUUUGAAUUAUGGUGCUGGAGGAGACUCUUGAGAGUCCCAUGGACUGCAAGAAGAUCAAACCUCUCCAUUCUGAAGGAUAUCAACCCUGAGUGCUCCCUGGAAGGACAGAUCCUGAAGCUGAGGCUCCAAUACUUUGGCCACCUCAUGAGAAGAGAAGAAUCUUUGGAAAAGACCUUGAUGUUGGGAAAGAUGGAGGGCACAAGGAGAAGGGGACGUCAGAGGACGAGAUGGUUGGACAGUGUUCUCGAAGCUACGAACAUGAGUCUGACCAAACUGCGGGAGGCAGUGCAAGACAGGAGUGCCUGGCGUGCUCUAGUCCAUGGGUCACGAAGAGUCGGACACGACUAAACGACUAAACAGCAACAACAAUAUUUCUUAGUGAUAGUUUUGUUUUCUGUAAACCGAUUUUGUUUUGUUUUUUGCAAUUCAGCGGUGUAUAGAUUUUAUGAAAUAAAAAGUAAACCAACUGGGAAUUAGAAGAUGAAGGUAUUUUAUCUGGAACCCUCUGCUUAAUAUGGAACUAGCACUGACACCCCUCACCCCCAAGAAAGGCUCUUCCAAGAACACCAGGGCUGCCCACCCUCAACAACUGCAGAUAGCACAACUAUUUUUUCAGCUGCCAUGGGUGGGGUACGUUUUAGCAGGGGUGUGUGUGUGUGUGUGAACAGCAACACCUCUGUCCUCUCGUAAUCUUCAUUUACCCCAACUGCAACGCUAGAGAUGGCCGGCUGCUGGCGCCAGGCCUGUAGGACGCAAUUCAAUCACAGCACAUCGGAUUCUUCCAAAACACCAGUUUUAUUCAUUAAACAAUCCAAAAGGUCGGUUCUUUCCCCUCAACCCCCCCACCCCUGUUUCCCCUCCCCACCCCCAAAAACAGGCUGAACAACUGAGAAUUUUACUCUAUUUUACACUCUACAGGUAAAAAUCUUCCCGCAUGGCUAGGGCGAGGGGAGCGAGACAAGACCCCUCCUCCCCAAACAGAUACCUAGUCCACCCUCUCGCCCCCAAGAGCCCACCUGGAGAGGCCGCUUCUCAUAGAGAAGGGGUCCAGACCUACCUGGUUGGCUAAGCAGACGAGGGAAGGCGAGGAGGGGCUCUGGGAGGGGGCCUUCCCCCCCAAACCCACCGCCUAGGCUCGCCUUGGAGGGUAGUCGCUACAGACAGAAGCCAAGGGGCUGCCCCAUAUCCCAGAGUACUAAUGCUGGCCCAGAACCCAAGGUUGACAUAAUGUCCCCCCCUCCCCACCAGUUUCCAGAAGAAUUGAGCCAGCUUGGCAGAAAAUGCAUCAGGGAUGUGGGGUGGAGACUGGCAACUCCCUGCUAUUACUCCCCCCCCCCCGCUCCGCGCAAGUAAG